Molecule: ribosomal RNA, 402 nt
Filed under: uncultured bacterium
Lineage: Bacteria
Description: bacterial SSU rRNA
Rfam family: Bacterial small subunit ribosomal RNA
Source: RNAcentral
UAGACUUGACAUCUCCUGAAUUACUCUUAAUCGAGGAAGUCCCUUCGGGGACAGGAAGACAGGUGGUGCAUGGUUGUCGUCAGCUCGUGUCGUGAGAUGUUGGGUUAAGUCCCGCAACGAGCGCAACCCUUAUUGUUAGUUGCUACUAUUAAGUUAAGCACUCUAACGAGACUGCCGCGGUUAACGUGGAGGAAGGUGGGGAUGACGUCAAAUCAUCAUGCCCCUUAUGUCUAGGGCUACACACGUGCUACAAUGGCUGGUACAACGAGCAGCAAACCCGCGAGGGGGAGCAAAACUUGAAAGCCAGUCCCAGUUCGGAUUGUAGGCUGAAACUCGCCUACAUGAAGUUGGAGUUGCUAGUAAUCGCGAAUCAGCAUGUCGCGGUGAAUACGUUCCCGGGUC